AGGAAUAUUGGUCAAUGGGCGAGAGCCUGAACCAGCCAAGUAGCGUGAAGGAUGACUGCCCUAUGGGUUGUAAACUUCUUUUAUAAAGGAAUAAAGUCGGGUAUGGAUACCCGUUUGCAUGUACUUUAUGAAUAAGGAUCGGCUAACUCCGUGCCAGCAGCCGCGGUAAUACGGAGGAUCCGAGCGUUAUCCGGAUUUAUUGGGUUUAAAGGGAGCGUAGAUGGAUAUUUAAGUCAGUUGUGAAAGUUUGCGGCUCAACCGUAAAAUUGCAGUUGAUACUGGAUAUCUUGAGUGCAGUUGAGGCAGGCGGAAUUCGUGGUGUAGCGGUGAAAUGCUUAGAUAUCACGAAGAACUCCGAUUGCGAAGGCAGCCUGCUAAGCUGCAACUGACAUUGAGGCUCGAAAGUGUGGGUAUCAAACAGGAUUAGAUACCCUGGUAGUCCACACGGUAAACGAUGAAUACUCGCUGUUUGCGAUAUACUGCAAGCGGCCAAGCGAAAGCGUUAAGUAUUCCACCUGGGGAGUACGCCGGCAACGGUGAAACUCAAAGGAAUUGACGGGGGCCCGCACAAGCGGAGGAACAUGUGGUUUAAUUCGAUGAUACGCGAGGAACCUUACCCGGGCUUAAAUUGCAGAUGAAUUACGGUGAAAGCCGUAAGCCGCAAGGCAUCUGUGAAGGUGCUGCAUGGUUGUCGUCAGCUCGUGCCGUGAGGUGUCGGCUUAAGUGCCAUAACGAGCGCAACCCUUGUUGUCAGUUACUAACAGGUUCCGCUGAGGACUCUGACAAGACUGCCAUCGUAAGAUGUGAGGAAGGUGGGGAUGACGUCAAAUCAGCACGGCCCUUACGUCCGGGGCUACACACGUGUUACAAUGGGGGGUACAGAGGGCCGCUACCACGCGAGUGGAUGCCAAUCCCAAAAACCUCUCUCAGUUCGGACUGGAGUCUGCAACCCGACUCCACGAAGCUGGAUUCGCUAGUAAUCGCGCAUCAGCCACGGCGCGGUGAAUACGUUCCCG
This 1016-nucleotide ribosomal RNA is filed under the name uncultured bacterium. RNAcentral describes it as "bacterial SSU rRNA". It matches the Rfam family "Bacterial small subunit ribosomal RNA", at positions 357 to 1376 of the family's 1533-position model. The record is from RNAcentral.